This 22-nucleotide microRNA is filed under the name Brachypodium distachyon (stiff brome). RNAcentral describes it as "bdi-miR9488". The record is from miRBase by way of RNAcentral. Lineage: Eukaryota; Viridiplantae; Streptophyta; Magnoliopsida; Poales; Poaceae.
UGAGGGCUAGGCUUUUAUGUAA